GAGCCCGUUUGGAUGGGCUUAUAAGUUGGUCAAACCAACUUAUAAGCCCUUUUUAGCUUAUUGUAGUGUUUGGCUACCAACUUAAAAUGCUAAAUUUAAGCCAUAAAGUGCUUAAAGUCACCCAAAAAUGAAAAGUUGGGAAUCCUAACUUUUUUUUUUUGGAGGGCUUAAAGCCAUUUUCGUUGACCAUGAAAAUUACUUUUAUAUCCUUUAUAUUUUAUUUUAAUUCCCAAAAUACCCUUUUAGCUAAAGCCCUAAAAUUCACGAUCUGUUCUCAUUUCUUACGCAGCCUCCACGAUUCUGUUCAUCAUCUUCUACAACAACGCAGCCUCCACGAUCUCUGUUCAUCAUCUUCUACAACAACAAAGCCUCCAAACACAGAACUUUCUUCACUCCCACACUCACUCUCUUUCUCUCUCUAAAAUUUCCCCAAAUCGCUGAGUUCUUAAAAAUUGUAAGGUUGUAAAUCUAAAAUCAAUGUUGAAAAUCGCUUGAGUUCUUCAAGUUUCUACUGAUCUAAGAAAUGUAGUAGAGCGCACAUUUGGCGUUUGGAAAGCAAGAUGGUCUAUUUUGAGAGACAUGCCAUACUAUCACAUUGACACACAAAGGGACAUCGUACUUGCUACUAUGGCCAUUCACAAUUAUAUUAGAAAGAAAUGCAAUGUGGAUGAUGCAUUCCAAACAGCCGAGAAUGAGAGCUAUAUUCCAUCGGUUGAUUCUAAUGAUAUUGGCACAACUUCAAGAGCUAACAAUGUAGAUGUCGAAGA
Molecule: RNA transcript, 767 nt
Organism: Lycium ferocissimum
Lineage: Eukaryota; Viridiplantae; Streptophyta; Magnoliopsida; Solanales; Solanaceae
Exons: 2
Source: RefSeq, a predicted model, not a curated record